AUCCCUUCUCUCUUCCUUGGUGCUUCUUUUUCCUGCUCGGUGAGUUUGUUUGUUUGUUUGUUUUUGAGACAGAGUCUCACUUUGCUUCCCAGGCUGGAGUGCAGUGGUGCGAUCUCAGCUUACUGCAGCCUCCGCUUCCGGGGUUCAAGCGAUUCUCCUGCCUCAGCCUGCCAAGUAGCUGGGACUACCGGCGCCCACCACCACGCCUGGCUAAUUUUUGAAUUUUUAGUAGAGAGUGGGUUUCACUAUGUUGGCCAGGCUGGUCUGGAACGCCUGACCUCAAGUGAUCCGUCCGCCUCGGCCUUCCAAAGUUCUGGGAUUACAGGCGUGAGCCACCGCGCCCGGCCUGAGUGAGUCUUAAUCCGUGGCCAUCUGCGUUCCUGCAGGCUUCAUCUGGCCCUAUGGUCCCCUGGCAUCAUGGCUGCCCUCAGAUCCCUUGUGAAGCCCAAGAUCGUCAAAAAGAGAACCAAGAAAUUCAUCCGGCACCAGUCAGACCGAUAUGUCAAAAUCAAGAUGAGAAGAAUAAUGUCUGGGGUGAAGGUGAAGCACCCAGCCCAAGACUCAGCAGCCAGGAAGUGGCCCAGCGCUCUUUAUACCACGGGUGCAGGAAUUCACACAGAAAAGUGGAGGCCAAGGCGUGAGAAUUCCUCAAUGACUGCCCUCUAAAGGAAGAGGUGAGUGUGGGGCCUGCUCUGAGUGCUA
Molecule: long non-coding RNA, 702 nt
Filed under: Homo sapiens (human)
Lineage: Eukaryota; Metazoa; Chordata; Mammalia; Primates; Hominidae
Description: novel transcript
Source: RNAcentral